UCGACUACAUGAAGCUGGAAUCGCUAGUAAUCGCGAAUCAGAAUGUCGCGGUGAAUACGUUCCCGGGUCUUGUACACACCGCCCGUCACACCAUGGGAGUCAGUAACGCCCGAAGCCGGUGGCCUGACCGCGAGGAGGGAGCUGUCGAAGGCGGGUCCGGUGACCGGGGUGAAGUCGUAACAAGGUAUC
Molecule: ribosomal RNA, 189 nt
Filed under: uncultured bacterium
Lineage: Bacteria
Description: partial 16S ribosomal RNA
Rfam family: Bacterial small subunit ribosomal RNA
Source: RNAcentral